CCUACGGGGGGCAGCAGUGAGGAAUAUUGGUCAAUGGACGAGAGUCUGAACCAGCCAAGCCGCGUGAAGGAUGACUGCCCAAUGGGUUGUAAACCUCUUUUAUCUGGGAAUAAAAUGUUCCACGAGUCGGAUUUUGUAUGUACCAUAUGAAUAAGGAUCGGCUAACUCCGUGCCAGCAGCCGCGGUAAUACGGAGGAUCCGAGCGUUAUCCGGAUUUAUUGGGUUUAAAGGGAGCGUAGGCGGGUUAUCAAGUCAGCGGUAAAAUCGUGGAGCUCAACUCCGUCGAGCCGUUGAAACUGAUGGUCUUGAGUGGGCGAGAAGUACGCGGAAUGCGUGGUGUAGCGGUGAAAUGCAUAGAUAUCACGCAGAACUCCGAUUGCGAAGGCAGCAUACCGGCUCCCGACUGACGCUGAAGCACGAAAGCGUGGGUAUCGAACAGGAUUAGAUACCCUUGUAGUC
RNAcentral lists this ribosomal RNA (459 nucleotides) under uncultured bacterium. RNAcentral describes it as "partial 16S ribosomal RNA". It matches the Rfam family "Bacterial small subunit ribosomal RNA", at positions 338 to 795 of the family's 1533-position model. The record is from RNAcentral.